Numida meleagris (helmeted guineafowl) is the source of this 6112-nucleotide long non-coding RNA. RefSeq lists it as uncharacterized. NCBI's taxonomy places the organism in Eukaryota, Metazoa, Chordata, Aves, Galliformes, Numididae. The transcript is spliced from 3 exons. The record is from RefSeq and is a predicted model, not a curated record.
AAUCCACUGAUUAGUUUGGUCUCCUCUUGCCUGACCUGUUAACCUAGGUAGCAGUGCAUUUUGCACCUAUCAUUAAUAAAGUAAGAUGGUUGUUACUAGUAAUGUGAAAUAUCAUCAUAUUUUUUUAAGCUAUUAUCCAUAAUCUCUAGUUCUCAAAAAUAUUCCCCAUGAUGAAACAGCUACCAAGACUGGAUCUCACAGUAGUCAGUGUGAAGAGAGAGGCAUCUUGACUGUCCCAGACACCUACUUUAGAAUAAAAUCUCUACUGAUUGGAGCAAAUCUAGAUGUCUGAUGUUAGGUCAAAUAGAUCCCAUAUGUACACAGGAUAUAAAUGUAUACACAAUCUUAUAAGCACGUAAUACACAACAUAGUGAAAUAUAAAAUUAAGAUGAAGAAGAUAGAUGGAAGAUAUACCUAAAAGAAAGAAUAAGCCAACAUUGGUCAUGCAAUGUUAAUUUGUUUUUGUGUGCGUACAUAUUACAAUAUAGUUUUAUUUAUAAGAUCAUAAAAUACGCUUCCCAUUUGGACUUCUGAUCUGUGUACUGUGCAGGAUGGACUGUGGAACUCUCCUCUACUGUAGUUGAGUGUUAUCAGAAUGUUAUUUAAUUUCUAGAACACCCCUUCAAGGAAAAGUAAUGGUCUCAUCACUGUUUUAUAAAUCAGGGAUUUAUGAUGCACAGAAGUUAAGAUCAGAAGUGUCACCUUCCCCAUUCUCAGCAUCCUGAGUACUUGGGUGGGUGUGGUUCUUUUUUCAAGCAUGGUACUUCAAUUUUAGCCUUUGGUAGUCCUACACAUUGCAGACCAUAGGUCCUCAAGUCAAGUGUGAAGAUGAUAUGAUCACCACUUAGAAAACAAAAGUGAGCAGUGACUAGCAAACGUUUCACAAAGUAAGUUCCCAAAUAUCACAGUGAGCCUACAGAAUUGCAAAGGUGCUGAAGUAAAGCACUGUUCUUUAGAGUUUGACCAGUACCUUUAACCACGAUAAACCCAUGCCUCAUGCCUUUAUAUCAUUUAUACUUCUGCAUUAAAUGAGGUCUGAGGGAGGAAACAAAUGGAGUCUGAAGGAGAGAAAACACUUUCCAUAACUGUAUAAAGCUGAUCACUCCUAAAACAAUUUUUUUUCCAUACAGAGGAUAAACUGUUCAAGUGAAUACAUACCAGGUGGCCAUAUAUUUCAAGACCCCAUCAUUAAUACAUAGGACUGAGUAAAAGCAAUCUUAAAUCCUGCUAUUUGCCUAUAUUUGAUUCAAAGACCUUAAGAUUUAAAAACAAACAAAAAAACCAAACCAAACCAAAACAAAACAAAAAAACCACCAAAAAACCUCCAUAACAUUUUGUCUGCAAUUUUGUAUGGUUUUUAAAAAGCAAAUUAAAACAGAAACGAAGUCAGAAGUUCUAUCAUGUGGCAACAUACUAUUAUCUCCAAGGUAGGACAGUUGGUUUGGAACCUCUAAAUCCAUAGUGUAGACUUCUUCCUGCUGUUUUCUACUAAAAUGACAGACAGCAAUGGCAUGUUUUCAGCCUUUGUAGUGCAAUAUUGUAGGAGGUCAGACAUGGAGUUUCACAGAGACUUGCAGGAAGCAGCAUAGUGUCAGAUACACAUUCUAAGGCCUGUAGAGAGAUGAUCUUUACUGGUUAACAGCACACUCUUUCCUUGCACUUUCCUUGUUAGGUCCCUCCUGUAUCAUCUCUUCCAGCACAUUUUUUUCUUUUUCUUUCCUAUUUGGCUCCAGGAACUAAUCCCAUUCUCUUUGUUUGUACUACUGCUUCUUUCAUUUUCUGUCCCAUCACUCCUGCAAGUUCAUUUGACUUCAAUGUCCAACCUUAUCACCAGGCUACCAGUCAACUUACUACAUCUGGCUUAGAUCUUCUAGUCUCUUACUUUCACUUCCCUUUCCCUUGCUCAGUAAAUCCCAGAUUCUUUCUCCUACUUUCUGUGCUCAAAACGUUUAUGUGGAAUCACAGUUUAUCACUUAGGAGUAUCUAAGUAUUAUUCAAAACGCAUGCAUGGAAAGGUAUCAUUCUCUUCCUGGGAUAUUUGCUUAUUGCACCUGAUACCUACUAUUUAAUCAGUGGGAAAAUAGUUCACCACCGCUGUGUCCGUGCAGGGUCCAUCCAGUGUGAUGCUGCACUCUGCUGGCUGUGGCUUUGUACUGUCACUUGCAUUUUCCAGUCUCCCUCCCUUUAUUUUCCUAACACUACUGUGUGCGUUCAGCAUUUUCCAGAAUAAAUGAAGGCUUAGCACAAAUCAUUCCUACUUUGCUGCACCAACUUUCAUGAAAGCUGACUGACAUUCAUCUUUCUGAUUUGGCUUCCGUUACGCUCAAAUCUUAUAAAAAAAAAUUAGAAGAUAAAGAAGUGGAAAAAGGGCUGAUCAUCCAGGUGUUUCCUAAGUGUUUGCCAGACUUCAGUUCUGCAGGUGCCAUCUUUUGUGAGAAAGGUCCCCAUGGUCCAUGCCCCUUUGACCAAACAUCCCAACUAUGACAGGCUCCAGGCAUCUUUCUAUAGCUCCUCUUUCUUAGAAGCACCGCUAAGGAAAAGUCUGCAUGAAAUUUGCAAACAAUCAAAGACUCAACUGCUCUAAUUAAAACAGAAUGUACUAAGAAUGUAUAGGAAAGCUGGAGUGGAGCAAAAGGACUUGUCUGAAUAACUAACUCAGUUUACUUGGCAAAUGUCAGGCCAGGGAGGUACAUCUUGGAUUCAUUACAAAGGAAGCAAUAUCUUACUUGUCCUCCGCUCCUAUCCUCGGGCAGCUGUCAGCAAGACAAUCUCUUCCUUCCUGUCCUUACUGAUCCUCUUGACUACAGCAUCUCAAAGACACAGCCUCGAGUGUCUGACAUUUCUCGUCCCUACUGCUCCCGCAAACACCGUUCCUUUAUAGUCUGUGACCACUUUUGAUGUUCACGUUGUGACAGAUUUCAUUACCUUAUAAGAUAGGCUGGUCGCAGUUAUAUUUCAACAGUGAAAUGUCUGCACCAUCUGGGAUAAGAGUCUCUCUUUCUACAGUGGUUAACACCUUCUAACAUGACCCUCAUCCCUGCCCCCUCCAGCUAACUCUGGAGUUAUAUUUCCCGAUUUCCUUUCUCAGAACUUGGCAUUUCAAAAGCCUCUUUGAUCUUGCCAUCACCUCAGCAUGCCUGAAGGGUAAAGAUGUGUAGAUCGUGGUUUGCAUGUCAGUCUCCCUUCAUUCAAGGUGUUGAAUUGGCUAGGUUGAUUUGUCCAUAAAGCAACAAGAGUGUUACUUUUGUAUUCUUUUAUUAGUGAUGCUUUUCCUUCAUAGCACUGAUGAACUAUUGACAAAUUAAAGUUCAUCGAGCCCAGAGCCCCAGGCUAAAGACACAAUGCACCUUUUGCUCCAUGGUUGUUGGCUGUUUAAUUCAAUAUUUUUCAUAUCUUACGUGUUUGAUUCCUGUUUGACCCGAAUUGUCAGCAAAGCCAAAGAUUCCAUCAGUGAAAUGAAAUGCAAAACAGAACUACAAUACUGCACUUCUGACUUUAUUUAUGGCAAAGUUGGGGACUGUGGAAUCUGCAUGGCCUCACCUAUAAACAGUAAGUCCAGUCAAACUUUGGAGUAAAGAGCUACACCAUUUGUUCACACAGGAAUUGUUUGUUUCUGUUCACACAGGAAUUACUGCCUGGCUGGUAACUCCCAGAUCCCUUAGAACAGUUAAGUGGCAUAAUUUUUGCUCUUCCCAUGCUAUGUAGUGACAAGAAGUAGUACUUUUUUUUCUAUAGAAAUCCAGGAAAAUUUCAAAAUAUGAAGAUUUUGCAAUAGUACAACUUGAAGAAUUUGCAACUCUCUUCCCUGGGCUCUAGCUCUGGUAUUUUCUUUUUGAUGUUGCCCAUACUACAAGCACUUCUUGAUUCCCAAAGGCUAUGCACACAAGAAGGACCCAAUAGACUGUGUUGUUUUACCAUACUAUUUUGCACACUCAUAAACCAGCUGCUGCGUCUGAACUACUCCUAUACAACCCAGCACAACAGCCAGAAGGCUCCUCACAGAAAGCUACAGAUAUUUCCCCUUAGCUCAUUCCUUUUGCCCUCUAUCUCCUCUUUUUGGAGGCAGUUUUUAUUAAGCAGCAAUGCGCUUAUUCUGCUUGUUACAGCCGGAACAGUACUUAAUAAUAGCUAUUACCAGCUGGUAGCUGUAGAUACUAGAGGCACUGAGAUCUUGGAAAAGAGCUGGGAUCUCUUGGUACUUAUGAUGUCAAAUAGUGUUAGUGACGUAUUAUAAUGAUUCCACUAGACAACGCUAAUUUUUGGAACAGAAUGCCACCUUAAAGAGAUCCAUUCCCAUUAAUCUCCUGGCUGAAAAGCAUCUUGAGAACAUGCUAUGUUCCCGGAAUAGCUUGCUUCGCAUUUUUAUUGUUAACUGUUGUUAUUAUUACUUAAUUUGUAAAUGCAUGCUUAUUUGGAGUUUUAGCUAAUUUAUGCCAAAGUGGGUGGAAAAGUGUUAAGGUGAAAAAAAAAGUAUUUUUACAUUUUUCAGCUCACCUAGCUUACUUUCUGUUCAGAUCAUUGGUUCACAAAUACUUUUCCGGGGUUGGCUUUUUGACUGAGUUUAGAACAAGACUUGUUUUGCAUUAGAAACAUUUCUUUGCACAGCUGCAGUGCCCCUCACAAAGGUAUGACCAAGUGCCCAGGCAACAGCAGGGGCAAACGCCUUGCUUAGGACUAAGACAGGACAGAGUCUGAAACAAAAGUGGAGAAGCGUUUAGGUCACAAGGCAGGAUGCGAACUUAUAUGGACUUAGUGCAAAUCCUAGGAGUCGCCAGCCACAAAAGUCCCGACACUGCACAGCAACUCAGCACCUUCAAAAUGGCGCUGGGGGCAGCUCCCGCCGAGGAUGUUUUCCCGCCUUAUCCUAACGGCUCCGUAGCACCGGGCAAUGUAGGGCCCCAGAUGCUCAGUGACCAAUGCGCUGCCGGUGUACAGCGGUGCGAGGUGCCGCGAGUACUGACACUGCCCCAGGACCUCCGUGUAGAGGAGGUCCUGUCCCCCUCCACCCCUGUGCGCCCGAUACUCGCCACACGCUGCGUCAGGCGGCCGCUGUGCAGAUCGGAGCGCCGUUCCCUCAGUCCCCAGCAGAGGGCGCUCCGGCUCUUCUCACGGCCCGGCCCUCCCGCCGGCAGCUCGGGGUGGCCGAGCAGCGUCUGCCUCCUCCCGCCCAGGCAGCUCGAGAGAGUCUUAGAGCUGCCUGGAGUGCAGGAGGGAAACUUGCCUCCUUAAUAUCGUUGUAAUAUGCAUAGGCUUAUUAAGCUAUAUUUUACUUUUCUAGAAUUUGUUUGCAUGCUACGGCAAUGGGCAAAUAAGGCAGUAAUGGAACUCUCCGCCCUGGUAAUCCCAGGUCUGCAUCUACUUCCAGUCCCCAUGAAUUCACUGGAAGAAUGAAUGCCAAUAGAGCUACACCAGCUUAUGUGUCCUGAAGAUCUCUUGCAAUUUCUUCAUCAAAAUUUCUUCAGAUUCCUUUUGAUGCAAACUAGUUUAUUGCUGUGAUACAACAAAAUGCCACAUGCAGGUCACACCAAUUAUGGAAUAGCACUUCUGAGUUUGAAGAUUAGUAUUUUCUCUACCCUGGUCUGCAUGUUGUCUCUUUCAACGCUGCUCUUUUUACAGUCGAACUGUUGAACCAUUGCUAAAGCAUUUUAUGUACCCGUUUUCUUAUAUAGUGUUGCAAUUACAUAAAGUGUUACGCUUUUUGAUAAGUUAAAUACAAAGCUUAUAAUUUUAUAAUGCUUCAAAGACCUUUAUUCCGAGCAUUAAUGACCAAGUAACACACCUAAAAAGAGAGACUGGUAAAUACUUUGGUGUAAGAUAGAUUCAUUGGCUUUGGUUCAUUUUGACAUUGUUUGUCCAGCACUGUUAAACAGACUAUUCUCCUUUUUGGCUGGGAUUGAUCUUACCCGAAUGCAGGAUAAAAAUUCAACUAGGAGCUUAGCUCAGACUGCCUUUGUCAAUGAGAUGGGCACUGACAUGAUUCAUCUUGCUUGUUUUCAGCAGGAGGUCUAAGGUAAGAUGUCCCACUCCAGAACCACUCUCCUUCCUCCUUUUCACCACAGCUAGAAUUUAAAAUUAUCUUUGAAUAAGCAUUUGACUUUUGAAUAAUCACCUU